AGCAUCUUAGCUCAGAGGAAGAGCGGUGGGCCCAUAACCCACAGGUCGGUCGAUCGAAACUUCCAGAUGCUA
Molecule: transfer RNA, 72 nt
Rfam family: tRNA
About the family: Transfer RNA (tRNA) molecules are approximately 80 nucleotides in length. Their secondary structure includes four short double-helical elements and three loops (D, anti-codon, and T loops). Further hydrogen bonds mediate the characteristic L-shaped molecular structure. tRNAs have two regions of fundamental functional importance: the anti-codon, which is responsible for specific mRNA codon recognition, and the 3' end, to which the tRNAs corresponding amino acid is attached (by aminoacyl-tRNA synthetases). tRNAs cope with the degeneracy of the genetic code in two manners: having more than one tRNA (with a specific anti-codon) for a particular amino acid; and 'wobble' base-pairing, i.e. permitting non-standard base-pairing at the 3rd anti-codon position.
Source: Rfam